UUUGUCCCCCAAACAAUAUCAAAGUAAAGGAAACGGUUUUCUCAGCCAAAAAAGGGCUCCACUUCACUACUCCGAGUCUGAGUCUGAGUCAAUAGAAAGAUACAAUCGCUGCCUUACAGAACGUUUUGGGCGAGGAAAUGUGAAAGGGCUAUCAGAUCUUUGCCGACUUGCCUUCUCAGGUCUACCAUCAUUCAUACCAAGAAGCAAAGAAGCAGUGUCAGCCAAAGACUCCAUUGCACCUUCUCUCGAUGGCACCUGCUUUCUCAAAUUCAGUCCAUUUUCAGGAAUUGAAUCACUGUGAUUGCCAGUGGCACCACCACCACCAAGACUAAGAGAGAUCCAAUCCUCUGUAUGGACACCAUUUGACAUAUCAGCUUGAUCCCUCAAAUCAGACUGCCCUGAUGCAUCUGAAGGCCUAGUUG
RNAcentral lists this unclassified non-coding RNA (422 nucleotides) under Hevea brasiliensis (rubber tree). Lineage: Eukaryota; Viridiplantae; Streptophyta; Magnoliopsida; Malpighiales; Euphorbiaceae. The record is from RNAcentral.